GACGAACGCUGGCGGCGUGCUUAACACAUGCAAGUCGAACGGUGAAGGGAAGCUUGCUUCCCGGAUCAGUGGCGAACGGGUGAGUAACACGUGGGCAAUCUGCCCCAGACUUUGGGAUAACUACUCGAAAGAGUAGCUAAUACCGAAUAUUCAGCCUUGCAGGCAUCUGCGAGGCUGGAAAGUUUCUCGGUCUGGGAUGAGCCCGCGGCCUAUCAGCUAGUUGGUGAGGUAAUGGCUCACCAAGGCGACGACGGGUAGCCGGCCUGAGAGGGCGACCGGCCACACUGGGACUGAGACACGGCCCAGACUCCUACGGGAGGCAGCAGUGGGGAAUAUUGCGCAAUGGGCGAAAGCCUGACGCAGCAACGCCGCGUGCGGGAUGAAGGCCUUCGGUGUAACGACUUCAGCAGGGAAGAAGCGAAGUAGA
RNAcentral lists this ribosomal RNA (427 nucleotides) under uncultured bacterium. Its description in RNAcentral is "bacterial SSU rRNA". It matches the Rfam family "Bacterial small subunit ribosomal RNA", at positions 28 to 459 of the family's 1533-position model. The record is from RNAcentral.